AGCUCCAAUAGCGUAUAUUAAAGUUGCUGCAGUUAAAAAGCUCGUAGUUGCAUUUCCGAGGCAAGGGAUUAGUCCGACCUUUGGUGGGUAUUUAAUCCUCUUGCCUCGUCCUUGAGUGGUGCUUCUUGGUAUUAAGUUAUCGAGGAGAUAGCCGCUCAUCGUUUACUGUGAGAAAAUUAGAGUGUUCAAAGCAGGCUUAUGCCGUUGAAUAUAUUAGCAUGGAAUAAUAAGAUAGGACCUCGGUACUAUUUUGUUGGUUUGAGAACCAAGGUAAUGAUGAAUAGGGACAGUUGGGAGUAUUCGUAUUCAGUUGUCAGAGGUGAAAUUCUUAGAUUUACUGAAGACGAACUACUGCGAAAGCAUUUACCAAGGAUGUUUUCA
This 381-nucleotide ribosomal RNA is filed under the name uncultured marine Chaetocerotaceae. RNAcentral's name for it is "SSU rRNA". It matches the Rfam family "Eukaryotic small subunit ribosomal RNA", at positions 587 to 972 of the family's 1831-position model. Lineage: Eukaryota; Bacillariophyta; Thalassiosirophyceae; Chaetocerotales; Chaetocerotaceae. The record is from RNAcentral.